GUGGGGAAUCUUGCGCAAUGGGCGAAAGCCUGACGCAGCCAUGCCGCGUGGAUGAUGAAGGUCUUAGGAUUGUAAAAUCCUUUCACCGGUGAAGAUAAUGACGGUACCCGGAGAAGAAGCUCCGGCUAACUUCGUGCCAGCAGCCGCGGUAAUACGAAGGGGGCUAGCGUUGCUCGGAAUUACUGGGCGUAAAGGGCGCGCAGGCGGACAGCUUAGUCAGAGGUGAAAGCCCAGGGCUCAACCUUGGAAUUGCCUUUGAUACUGGCUGUCUUGAGUUUGGGAGAGGAGAGUGGAACUCCGAGUGUAGAGGUGAAAUUCGUAGAUAUUCGGAAGAACACCAGUGGCGAAGGCGACUCACUGGCCCAAUACUGACGCUGAGGCGCGAAAGCGUGGGGAGCAAACAGGAUUAGAUACCCGUGUAGUCC
This 425-nucleotide ribosomal RNA is filed under the name uncultured bacterium. RNAcentral describes it as "partial 16S ribosomal RNA". It matches the Rfam family "Bacterial small subunit ribosomal RNA", at positions 354 to 796 of the family's 1533-position model. The record is from RNAcentral.